RNAcentral lists this long non-coding RNA (1413 nucleotides) under Capra hircus (goat). RNAcentral's name for it is "lncRNA (ENSCHIG00010008683.1)". Lineage: Eukaryota; Metazoa; Chordata; Mammalia; Artiodactyla; Bovidae. The record is from RNAcentral.
GGCUCUGGCGGGUCGGGUCCCUCAACCACGAGGCUACACUUUGCUGCCAGUGUGGCUCAGAGACAGCGACUAGCCCACACUGCAGGCAAGGGGACGCGCGGGCUCGAACCGGGCGUGUCUGACGCCAAGACGCUUAGACUUUCCACGAGCCCUUCCAUCAAGUGCCAUGCCUUUCUCCCCCAGCCCCACACCUGCCCCACUUUACAGAUCGGGAACCUGGGUCUCCCCGGGGCCAAGCAGCCCAGUCAGUCGGCGCAGGGCCUGCCCCAGCCGGGUCUGCAGAGGGCCAAGGGCCGGAGGGGCUGGGGUCCGCGGGCAGAAGGGGCGUCGAGGGUCCCGAGAGGCCCGGGACGAUGCCUAGAAUGGGGACGAUCGAGGGCGGAAGAUGGGAGGGGGCGCUUACUCCGUCCCAUGUCGCCCCUCGAGGGUCUCGGGGGGCUCCACCAGGCCCGGGAAGCUCCACCAGGACCCGCCAAGACUCCCCGGCCACCUCGGUCUCUCCUCCGCGCGUCGGCACCUGGGAGCCAUGGCAACGGGGACUCUACGGAGGCCGCGCGGGGCCAGACGGGGCCGCGUUUCCCGACUCUGGAGGUGCUGGGAGGAGGGUCUACCCCAGAGAAGACCAGGGUGCCCCAUAGCCCAGACCUAGUCCUCCAACACGGCCCCAGCCUCCAUCUCGGCAGACUGCUUCCCUGACCCCAGAUCAGCUGGCCGAACUAAACACAGAACCACAGAACGCUCUGUUUCCUGAGGGGAGCUGCUUCCUGAGUCCCCUUAGCCUGUCCUUUGCUCUUUUCUCUUCGUAUUUGAUUGAAGGCCUUCCACACUGGAAUCGGCCCACACUCCCGUUUCCCAAGGUGUGACCUUAAACUUCCCUAACCUUAAUUUCCACCUGUUAGGUAAGUACUGAUAAUAACCUCCAAGGGUCAUUGUGAAGCUUAAUGAAAUAAUUUCAGUGAAUGAAAGACACUUAAAAAACAAACAGCCGACUCAGUAUUUAGGGGAUCAAGCAGGCUACCCAAGAAAGGUGCCCCAUUCUCUGAAAUAACUUCUUCAUCUCGAGACGUUUUUACUGAAAUCUAGGGUAAGAAAUCCUUCUUAUAAGAGGAAGAUCUUGGGCUGUUUGACAUUCUGGUGGAAUAGAGAAGAGAUGUGGGUGAUAAAACAAGAAAACCAGGAAUAUUUCUUCAUAAUUUGUUAUGGGCCAGGCUGGGGUGGUUUUGCUGUGCCCUUUCUCCACCCAGCAUCACAAGACACUGUGUGUUUUAGAAUCAGAGGACCCAUGGAUCACGCAGGACAGGUGUACAGUGUGCUUUGAUUGUUACCCUCCACUGAUGGGAAGGGAAAUUGGGAAAUAAAUCACAGUGUGACAGCUCCAAGUGAAGUCAAAUUCAUUUCAUUCCAACUGAACGU